This 253-nucleotide ribosomal RNA is filed under the name uncultured bacterium. Its description in RNAcentral is "partial 16S ribosomal RNA". It matches the Rfam family "Bacterial small subunit ribosomal RNA", at positions 524 to 776 of the family's 1533-position model. The record is from RNAcentral.
GACAGAGGCCUCAAGCGUUAGGCGGAAUCACUGGGCUUAAAGCGUGUGUAGGCGGACGCCUAAGUGUCUUGUGAAAUCCCACGGCUCAACCGUGGAACUGCUUGGCAUACUGCGAGACUCGAGGACGGUAGGGGAGAGCGGAACUCCUGGUGGAGCGGUGAAAUGCGUAGAUAUCAGGAGGAACACCGGUGGCGAAGGCGGCUCUCUGGUCCGUUUCUGACGCUGAUGUGCGAAAGCUAGGGUAGCGAACGGG